This 626-nucleotide ribosomal RNA is filed under the name Actinobacillus delphinicola. Its description in RNAcentral is "bacterial SSU rRNA". It matches the Rfam family "Bacterial small subunit ribosomal RNA", at positions 33 to 645 of the family's 1533-position model. The record is from RNAcentral. Lineage: Bacteria; Pseudomonadati; Pseudomonadota; Gammaproteobacteria; Pasteurellales; Pasteurellaceae.
ACGCUGGCGGCNGGCUUAACACAUGCAAGUCGAACGGUAACAGGAAGAAAGCUUGCUUUCUUUGCUGACGAGUGGCGGACGGGUGAGUAAUGCUUGGGAAUCUGUUUCAUGGAGGGGGAUAACUACGGGAAACUGUAGCUAAUACCGCGUAAUAUCGAGAGAUUAAAUGUGUGGGACCGCAAGGCCACAUGCCAUGAAGUGAGCCCAAGUGGGAUUAGAUAGUUGGUGAGGUAAUGGCUCACCAAGUCGGCGAUCUCUAGCUGGUCUGAGAGGAUGACCAGCCACACUGGGACUGAGACACGGCCCAGACUCCUACGGGAGGCAGCAGUGGGGAAUAUUGCACAAUGGGCGCAAGCCUGAUGCAGCCAUGCCGCGUGAAUGAAGAAGGCCUUCGGGUUGUAAAGUUCUUUCGGUGGUGAGGAAGGUUGGCGUGUUAAUAGCACGUUGACUUGACGUUAGCCACAGAAGAAGCACCGGCUAACUCCGUGCCAGCAGCCGCGGUAAUACGGAGGGUGCGAGCGUUAAUCGGAAUAACUGGGCGUAAAGGGCACGCAGGCGGUGACUUAAGUGAGGUGUGAAAGCCCUGGGCUUAACCUAGGAAUUGCAUUUCAUACUGGGUCGCUAGA